CGGAGGAUCCAAGCGUUAUCCGGAAUCAUUGGGUUUAAAGGGUCCGUAGGCGGGUUUAUAAGUCAGUGGUGAAAGCCCAUCGCUCAACGAUGGAACGGCCAUUGAUACUGUAGAUCUUGAAUUAUUAGGAAGUAACUAGAAUAUGUAGUGUAGCGGUGAAAUGCUUAGAGAUUACAUGGAAUACCAAUUGCGAAGGCAGGUUACUACCAAUGGAUUGACGCUGAUGGACGAAAGCGUGGGUAGCGAACAGGAUUAGAUACCCUGGUAGUCCACGCCGUAAACGAUGGAUACUAGCUGUUCGGAGCAAUCUGAGUGGCUAAGCGAAAGUGAUAAGUAUCCCACCUGGGGAGUACGUUCGCAAGAAUG
This 366-nucleotide ribosomal RNA is filed under the name uncultured organism. RNAcentral's name for it is "bacterial SSU rRNA". It matches the Rfam family "Bacterial small subunit ribosomal RNA", at positions 526 to 896 of the family's 1533-position model. The record is from RNAcentral.